RNAcentral lists this ribosomal RNA (484 nucleotides) under uncultured bacterium. Its description in RNAcentral is "partial 16S ribosomal RNA". It matches the Rfam family "Bacterial small subunit ribosomal RNA", at positions 30 to 507 of the family's 1533-position model. The record is from RNAcentral.
AUUGAACGCUGGCGGCAGGCCUAACACAUGCAAGUCGAGCGGAUGAAGGGAGCUUGCUCCUGGAUUCAGCGGCGGACGGGUGAGUAAUGCCUAGGAAUCUGCCUGGUAGUGGGGGAUAACGUCCGGAAACGGGCGCUAAUACCGCAUACGUCCUGAGGGAGAAAGUGGGGGAUCUUCGGACCUCACGCUAUCAGAUGAGCCUAGGUCGGAUUAGCUAGUUGGUGGGGCAAAGGCCUACCAAGGCGACGAUCCGUAACUGGUCUGAGAGGAUGAUCAGUCACACUGGAACUGAAACACGGUCCAGACUCAUACGGGAGGCAGCAGUGGGGAAUAUUGGACAAUGGGCGAAAGCCUGAUCCAGCCAUGCCGCGUGUGUGAAGAAGGUCUUCGGAUUGUAAAGCACUUUAAGUUGGGAGGAAGGGCAGUAAGUUAAUACCUUGCUGUUUUGACGUUACCAACAGAAUAAGCACCGGCUAACUUCGUG